GCUACUAGUUUUCCAAUUACACCAUAUCGAGCCAAAGUUGUGAGUUGGUUGGUUGGUAGUCCAACAUGAGAGAGUUGAGGAAGACUCCCUGCCCAAUUUUAACACCCGAGUCCACUUACUACCUGCUCCACAGUUUCGAAUAAUAGUCCCUUCUUUUGUAAGUCUGUCACCAUUGUCCACUGGUCUACCCUCUCUUUCUCAACUCACUCCUUCUCAGUCGGAGUAUUUCGCGCCCUUUUUGGUUGGGUUUGUCUUUUGGUUAGUUGUAGUGUUGUCACUAAACUGUCACUAGUCAGUCGCAAGGGCCAGUUAGUUCAGUUCAUCAUGUAUUGAAUACAGAUUACAGUUCAUGUUUCCAGUGUUUUAUCCGGGAAUUUAUUUGUUUUGAAGUCACUUGAUCUUCUAUUAUCAAUGAGACGUAUGUCGCGUCAUGCGCCGAUACAGCUUUGGAGGGGCGCACAAUCACGAGUAUCAUGGGGAAGCUGGUGACCCUUCGUUGCCAUAUACUUUUCGUGGAAAAGAGUUCAACGCAAGGACGACCAUGAGAUAGAGAAAAAACCAUUCAAGGACCUUCUCAUAACUAAAGUUAUGAUUGACAUGGAGAAAAGAAGAAGAAACAGUCGUCUGCUGAAGUCAAUGAAGACGAGACACUUGAAAAUUUUAAUUUGGAGCUCCAGCCAUAAAAUACAAUUUGUCGCAUUACUAUGUUAAUGAUGAAUGUUCAAGUAAAGGAUUUAUUCAUCAAUUUUGAAGUUAUGUAAUUUUUUCACAUCCAGCUGAAUAUACUAUUUAUUCUAUAAAGGAGAUUAUAUGUCAAUGAUUUUGAAUCAUUCUGAAGAACUUAUUCAAUCAUUUCUAAAGUGAUUUAAAGUAGUUUAUUAAUCAUAAUUUUGCUCACUUAAAGCAUUGUAAAUCAUUGUAGAGUGAUUUGAGAGUAAUUUAAAAGUG
Nilaparvata lugens (brown planthopper) is the source of this 948-nucleotide long non-coding RNA. RefSeq lists it as uncharacterized. The transcript is spliced from 3 exons. NCBI's taxonomy places the organism in Eukaryota, Metazoa, Arthropoda, Insecta, Hemiptera, Delphacidae. The record is from RefSeq and is a predicted model, not a curated record.